Chrysemys picta bellii (western painted turtle) is the source of this 393-nucleotide long non-coding RNA. RefSeq lists it as uncharacterized. NCBI's taxonomy places the organism in Eukaryota, Metazoa, Chordata, Testudines, Emydidae. The record is from RefSeq and is a predicted model, not a curated record.
CUCUCCCCUCAGAACUGGGAGAGAUCCGGACAAUACUUGCAGUAGAGCUCCCAAAUGAGAGGGGUUAUGGAAAAAGGUGAGAGAGGAGGCUUAGAGACAAUCAGAGGAAUGUGUACCUUGUGGAGACGUGAGUUACUGCCACUCGCCUCUUCCUGAGCACUGCAAAAAAGCCCUACUUCUUCUCCGCAGCAAGAGUGCAGCACUUACCCGAGGCCCUGAUUCUGCCAUCCUUACCCUCCAUUGGCUUUGGAGCGGAGCCCGGAGCUGGAGCGCGGAGCAGCUCCAGAUCAGUGGAGCUGCAGGUUUUUGCUUGGAGCUGGAGUGGAGCAGGAGCACAGCUCCAAAGCCCUGUAUUUCAUUUGAUCAAAUAUGACUUAUUGUGCUUUGACUUAU